CGUGGACUGGCCGAGCCGAGCAGGGGGGCCCUGCCGAAGACCCGGAACAGUAGCUGCCGCAUAUCCAAGCCUCGCCGCGGCUCCCGCCCGUGUAGAAAGAGUCACGCCACGUCGUGGCUUCUCGGCAAGACAGUCGUUACAAGCUAGAAACGGGCUGCAGGAAGUGAUUACAAACGCCGGCUUCACAUCCCUCGUGGGCAGGAAAGCCCCUCGCCUGCAUAAGAGCUGAGCCUCCCGGCUCCCAGGAGGGCCAAGUGAUCCUGUGCUAACACCGGUGGGAAGCUGAAUGAAAGAAAGGGUUUUUGAUGGCCCAUGUUAGUAAUUUUGCAUUUAAAAAUAUUUUAGGUAGCUGUAGCAAUGUGAUUUCAGGUGUUGGUAAUUUUCCUUCUGUCCUUUUUCUAAAUCUCAAAGAUCCUUUCAAAGUAAGCAAACCCAAAAGUAA
Molecule: long non-coding RNA, 442 nt
Organism: Gavialis gangeticus (Gharial)
Lineage: Eukaryota; Metazoa; Chordata; Crocodylia; Gavialidae
Exons: 2
Source: RefSeq, a predicted model, not a curated record